Molecule: small nuclear RNA, 103 nt
Organism: Myotis daubentonii (Daubenton's bat)
Lineage: Eukaryota; Metazoa; Chordata; Mammalia; Chiroptera; Vespertilionidae
Source: RefSeq, a predicted model, not a curated record
UUGCUUUAGCAGCACAUACAUUAAAAUUGGAAGAAUACGGAGAGGACUAGCACGGCCCCUGCGCAAGGAUGACAGGCAAAUUCGUGAAGUGUCCUGCAUUUUG